GCCAGGCAUGGUGGCUCAUGCCUGUAAUCCUAGCACUCUGGGAGGCCCAGGCAGGAGGAUCAUUUGAGCUCAGGAGUUCGAGACCAGCCUGAGCAAGAGUGAGACCUCAUCUCUACUGAAAAUAGUAAAAAUUAGCUGGGUGUGGUGGUACAUGCCUGUAAUCCCAGCUAAUCUCAGGAGGCUGAGGCAAGAGAUCACCUGAGCCCAGAAGUUUGAGGUUGUUGUGAGCUAGGCCAAUGCCACGGCACUCUGGCCUGAGUGACAGAGUGAGACUCUGUCUCA
This 282-nucleotide small RNA is filed under the name Microcebus murinus (gray mouse lemur). RNAcentral describes it as "Metazoan signal recognition particle RNA (ENSMICG00000036224.2)". Lineage: Eukaryota; Metazoa; Chordata; Mammalia; Primates; Cheirogaleidae. The record is from RNAcentral.